This 64-nucleotide transfer RNA is filed under the name Phyllotreta variipennis. RNAcentral describes it as "tRNA-Ile". The record is from RNAcentral. Lineage: Eukaryota; Metazoa; Arthropoda; Insecta; Coleoptera; Chrysomelidae.
GAUAAGAUGCCUGAAUAAAGGAUAAUUUUGAUAGAAUUAAUAAUGUGAAUCUUCACUCUUAUUA